AGUGAACGCUGGCGGCGUGCCUAAUACAUGCAAGUCGAACGAACGAAUAAGAGCUUGCUCUUAUAAGUUAGUGGCGCACGGGUGAGUAAUAUAUAGCUAAUCUGCCUCUUAGUAGAGGAUAACAGUCGGAAACGAUUGCUAAUACUCUAUACUUCUGCUUUACAUAAGUAAAGUAGAGAAAGUUUUUCGCUAAGAGAUGAGGCUAUACUGUAUCAGCUAGUUGGUAAGGUAACGGCUUACCAAGGCUAUGACGCAUAACUGGUCUGAGAGGAUGAUCAGUCACAUUGGAACUGAGACACGGUCCAAAAUCCUACGGGAGGCAGCAGUAGGGAAUAUUGCGAAAUGGGGGAAACCCUGAAGCAGCAACGCCGCGUGGAGGAUGACACCUUGCGGAGCGUAAACUCCUUUUAUCGGGAAAGAAUAAUGACGGUACCCGAUGAAUAAGCCCCGGCUAACUACGUG
This 462-nucleotide ribosomal RNA is filed under the name uncultured bacterium. RNAcentral's name for it is "partial 16S ribosomal RNA". It matches the Rfam family "Bacterial small subunit ribosomal RNA", at positions 29 to 507 of the family's 1533-position model. The record is from RNAcentral.